CGCCCAGGCCGCUGGGGCCGGCGAGGCCAGGCCAGGCGGGCGCCGUGUCCCGCCCCGAGGCCCCAGAAGGGCCCGCGGGGAGGCCAGGCGUCUGCUUCCCUCCUCAGAACCCGCUGUCCUCCUGCAUGUGACCCUGGGAAAGCCUCUGGGCCAUUCUCUGCCCCCGCCCCUCAUCUGCACAUAGGGUCGCUGACAUAGGUGUCCCGUGAGGUGCGAACUCCUUCCUCCUUGGGUGGGAAGCUUGAUCCCCUGCCCUCUCACCUGGUAACUUGGAGAGCCGCCUUGUCCUGACCUCACCUGUUAGAGGGGGACGAUGGUGGAACAUAUUUUGGAGCUCCCUGUGAAGAAGAGGGAAAAUCCCCUACUCAUCUAAAACGCUUGACUAGCCCAUGCCAGCCCUCGGGCCCCCUGCACCGUCAGACACUCCCUGUUCCUGAUGCUGGGGGUUCCAGGUACGUCCCGCAGCCCCCCCAGCCUCCUUUCCUAACACCCACCCAGAAGGAGUCUGCUGCAGAAAUGCAAACUGAAGGAAAGCAAUGGCAUGUUCAAAGAUCUAUGAGAAGAGAAUGGGGAAGUUGCUCAAUCAUAGAAAAAAAUGUAAUAAUAAUCUUUUUUCCUUCCUAGUCCUAGCCUUUAUUAUAGUUCACCAAAAUACUGAAUAUCCCUGUGGAUAAAAUGAGAGUUCCUGGGGCCAGGAUUCUCACCUGGCCAUGGCUGACUAGCUCA
Molecule: long non-coding RNA, 726 nt
Organism: Manis pentadactyla (Chinese pangolin)
Lineage: Eukaryota; Metazoa; Chordata; Mammalia; Pholidota; Manidae
Exons: 3
Source: RefSeq, a predicted model, not a curated record